UCUGGGCAUGGCAGUACCUACUUGUAAUCUCUGCUACCAGGGAGAUUGAAGUUGAUGAAUUAUUUGGGUUUGGACUUUCUGUGCUUUAGUAUGCUAAGCUGAUUGGGUGUCUUUACUAAAUCUGGCAAUAUGGUGAGCCCCUGAGAGCAAGGGGCCAAUGGACCGCCUGAGGAGGGGCAAAAUGGCCCAGGUCAGAAUUGGAGCAGGUCAAAGCUUCUGUGCUGAUUAGAUGUGGGAUUGGGUCUGUGAGUGGCUACUACACUUCCAGACUAGCCAAGGUAGGGAGAUGGAGUCUCAG
This is an unclassified non-coding RNA of Vombatus ursinus (common wombat), 298 nucleotides long. It matches the Rfam family "Metazoan signal recognition particle RNA". Rfam says of the family: The signal recognition particle (SRP) is a universally conserved ribonucleoprotein. NCBI's taxonomy places the organism in Eukaryota, Metazoa, Chordata, Mammalia, Diprotodontia, Vombatidae. The record is from Ensembl.